RNAcentral lists this ribosomal RNA (253 nucleotides) under uncultured bacterium. RNAcentral's name for it is "partial 16S ribosomal RNA". It matches the Rfam family "Bacterial small subunit ribosomal RNA", at positions 524 to 776 of the family's 1533-position model. The record is from RNAcentral.
UACAGAGGGUGCAAACGUUGUUCGGAAUUACUGGGCGUAAAGCGCACGCAGGUGGCUGAGUCAGUCGAUUGUGAAAGCCCUGGGCUUAACCUGGGAAUUGCAGUCGAUACUACUCAGCUAGAGUAUGGGAGAGGGCAGUGGAAUUCCCGGUGUAGCGGUGAAAUGCGUAGAUAUCGGGAGGAACAUCAGUGGCGAAGGCGGCUGCCUGGCCCAAUACUGACACUCAGGUGCGACAGCGUGGGGAGCAAACAGG